CUUUGGGCCUGAAGAGGCAAGAGAGGGGGGUGUGGUUAUCAGAACGCAGAAGGAGAGCUGUAGUUUUGGAGAGAGCCAUGCUUGGGAGCCGUGGCCCUCAGUGGCGGAACGCAGCUACCACCAACCUCAGCCCAAAAGAGUGAGCCAGAGUAAAUACCCACCCAAUCAUCUCCUGUGGACGUUUCCACUGGCCAGACUCGCCCAGAGCCAGACGGUAAGGGAGCCCACUGAUGUAGUCCUCAGGAGUCACCUUCCAGGGCUCAGAGCAGAGCGAAGAAGCCUGGAGUGGACCUGGAGGGACGAAACAGCAUAUCCAGCACUGCAUCCAUUACUCAGAAACCCCUACCCUGCCUCACACUUCUUAAGAGCAUUCACCACUGCCCAACAACUUACUAUGCAUUAAAUCAUCUUGUUCUGUUUUGCUCUCUCAACCCCACUAGACCCAUGACGGUGGGAUGGGGUCCUUGUGGGGGUUGGUUUGCUUUCCAUUCCCAUCUCUGAGGUUCCUAGAACAAUGCUGGCAUGUGGCAGGAACUCAAGUAGUCGGUGAAUAAAUGACUGAAUGAGGCUGGUGUCAUUAUCCCAUUUUAAAAUUGGAAAGACCGAGGCUUAAGGUGACUUGGGGCCCCUCGGGGGCACAGCAGGAGUCACAGCCGGGUCUUGUGAGCCCCAGGCUCUGUUCCUUUCCCCACCCCACAGAAGAACAAGACACAACUGCCUGAGAGGGUUAUCUGGUGCUUCGGACGUCACUCUGGGCGCAGAGCGUCCUUCCGGGCCCUUCCGUAUCCAUGCGCUUUGCUCAACGCCUCUAGCACUGUGUGGCUUUAUUCAAAGUCUAGCAUGGCUUAAAACCCUGUUAUGCCUCAAUAAAAUUAGCAGAUUAGUCAAAGUAUUUUUCUCAGUCCUUCGUGUUUGCUGCUAAGAACGCUUUCAUCCUGGUGGCCCUUGCUUAGAGAAGAUACUCACCCCUUCCCCCAGCUCUGCUUUUGAUUUCGGAGCCAUGAGGAGCUUGCAGAGCUCACUGAGGUCAGCACACCCUCAGACAAGGCCAUGCUCGUGGCCCAGGGCCGAGAGCCCCCGUGCCCAGCGGCCCCUCUCUUCUGCAUUCUGCUCUGAGAGUUGCCUUAUUCAAAGGGGCAUCGUGCCAGGGAGGAGGUCCUGGGCUCUGUGGGACCAGGCUUCCUCCAGUGCCCGGACCCUGCAGAGCAUCCGCACCGGGCGGGGAGGGGCGUUGCCGACACUGCGCUUUGCGUGGGCUUCCCACCCCUACUCCCCGGCUCCUCGGACAAAACCCAUUAUUCCGGUCUAGGUGACUUCAGCACCUGCAGGCACCAGCACGCUCCGCACUUGCAGCCAGAUGAUUAGGCACCUGUUGGGGUCACUGUGGACGUGGCUGGCUCCGAGGGUUGGGGAUUAAAAUGAAGUGGCCACAUCAGUCCGGUUCAGCUACACUGGCCUUUAGCAAAGCGAGGCCAUCGUCCCCUCAUUCAGCAUAAGCCUCUGCUCAUUUCCGUCCCCUGUCAGCAAACAUUCCUGCCCCGGCUCCAGGGCCUGCAAGACCCACCUCUGCAUCUCUUUGGGGAACCAGGCUCCCUGUGGCCCCUGGCCUUCCAGGCCUCGAUUCCUCCCCGUGAGGGAUCCCAGGGCCAGUCCCCUCAGGCUGAUGGGGAUCCCAAGGCCGGUCCCCUCAGGCUGAUGGGGAUGAGGUUGCCGGGCUGUGGACCCCUCUGCCCCACCUUCUGAGCCAGGCCUGCUCCAGCCCUGCCUCCCCAGGGGCAGCACGCCCCCAGCUUAUCCCCCCAGGCCCCACAGACUCCCCGGCUGAUCCUCUGGUCCAGGGAGCCCCCGGCAGCAGCUGGCCUUCUUUUCUCACCAGCCUCUCUUCUUCCCUCUUCCCCGGAGCCAGCCUGGGUGCACCUUAUUCUGGUGGGAGCCUCAGAGCUCUUACUUUACCUCAUCUAACCUCUCUUCAGCUCGGAGGAAGAGGGAAAGAUGGAAGGAGGAGAACAGAGCGUGGCAGGUCAGAGGGAGGCAUACGCUGGGCGUCUAAAUGUCGCCCUCGCCACACUCCCUGCCCUGCUGAAUAGAGAAAACAGAGGUGCCUUCAGGCCUUUUUCAAAUCAAGAUUUUAUUAAAAAGAAACACAGUUUCAAUCACCAAGCAAACAAUUCUCGAAGACAUUUUCUAGAAUGAUGAGGAUGAUAAUACAAGCUCUCGUGUUGGAGGGACCCGAGCUGCGGGUUCUGCAUCCAUCACUCUUGCCACCCCGUGGACUGUGAGACAGACCCCCCCCCAGAAAAACGGGGAACAGGUUGGGAGAAGGCCGGUGGCCUGUCCAAGGACACGGAGGGUGGGAGGAGGGGUGCUGUGGUUCGUGCUGAGGCCGGGGCAGGGGAGGUCUCUGGCGCUCUUCCUGGGAUGGCUCACGACAGGAUCCCCACUCAGACCAAGGCAGGCAGAGGAUGGGAGAGCCUCGUUAGGCAUCUGCUACGGGAAGCUGUUCUGACUUCUGAGGCUAAGGGACGACCACAGGGAAUCCCUACACUGGGUCUCCGUUUUCCAUUUCUCCCUGGAUCAGAGGUGUGACCACAUCACACGUGUUUGCCCAGCGCCGCUUGAAUAGCAAGCUGGCGAAAUAGAAAUAUCUUUGUGAAAAUAUGAACACACUUUUAUUUACCAAAAGUAAACGAAACCUUUUCCUGGUUUGAAGAUUUCCAUUCUUCUGCCUCUCCGUCUCCUCCUCUCAGCUUGCUUUGAUUGCCCAUAACAUUAACCUUCAGAAAGAAACGAGGGUAAACAACCUGGCAAAUCCAAGUAGCUGAUUCCCCGGCCGCAUCCUCCUCGGUCAGGCAGGGCACACGCUGCAGGCCCUCGCGGGAGUCACCCGACGGGGAGGCCCGUGUGGGCCUGCCGCCCACCCCGCUCCCUGUCCUUUGGGGGCAGGGAGUUCCUUGCUGGCUUUGGGGCACCGUGAAGCUCGCAUACCUAAUACUUCAUUGAGCCUUCCCUCUGUCUGGCUGCCUUGGAAGGCUCAGCCGGAGCUCUGUGCUCCUGGCUCUGGGACAGGAAGAAAAGGAAGGGAAAGGUCUUCCAGGCAGGACUUGUUAUUGCUGUAGAAACGGUCACGGUCGGCAUUCCUUUCGGGGAUGUUGUGUUAAUAGGGGAUGGCUGGGGGCGCCUGGGUGGCUCAGUUGUUAAGCGUCUGCCUUCGGCUCAGGUCAUGAUCCCAGGGUCCUGGGAUCGAGCCCCGCAUCGGGCUCCCCGCUUGGCAGGAAGCCUGCUUCUCCCUCUCCCACUCCCCCUGCUUGUGUUCCUGCUCUCGCUAUCUCUCUCUCUGUCAAAUAAAUAAAUAAAAUCUUUAAAAAAAAAAAAAAAUAGGGGAUGGCUGUUUUUUGGGAACUAUCGCCUUCAAGUAGGGUGACUCUUUCCCAGGUUAUGUAAAAGGGCAUUAGGCAAACACUCGGAAAGUCGGCAGCUUCCUUUCUCGGGAGUGUAAACAGUGGGCAGACAGGCUAGGUGCCCUCCAGCAGCAGGCUUGCAGAAUGCCCAUUGGCUGCAGCUGCCUUGCUGAUCAGCCCUCAGUCUGGAUAAUAUCAGCAGUACUAACGGUGACAGCUUUUUCUGAGAUACUUUGCUUCUUCAGAGAGUAUUAAAGAUGUUUUGAAUCUAUUUUUUAGGAAUCUUGAAACCACCAGUGGGACAUUUUUGCUGUUGUGGGUAAUGCAUGAGCAGCCGCUUGGGAAGGCCGGGCCAGGAGAAGCACCCAAGGGUGUUGGAAGCACAGAAGACACUGCCCAUUUAGUCUGAACAGCUACGAAGCAAGCGAGGCAGAGCAUAUGCUGGGAUGUGGGAGCAGAUGUGGCUGGGAAGCGGCUUAUUUAUUUGAUUUGCUGGGGGCGGGGGUGGAGGAGAGGCAGACCCUGCCUCUCCUGGGAUUGGGCAGUAUUUACUGGCAAGGCAGAACCAGCGGAAAAGUUCUGUAAUCAUGGAAGGAAUUCUCAAGCCCUGCUUAGUAUUGUUUGGGGUUUUUUUUUUCCCCCCUGCCUGGACUCUCCCUACCCAGAGCACAGAUUCAUACAAAAAUUGCAACAAGAGGCGAUAUAAUUGUGAAAUUUGUAGUAGAUAGUGUAACGGUUAAUUUUAUGUGUCCCCUGGACUGGGCCAAGGGAGGCCAAGAUAUCUGGCCAAGUAUUAUUCUCGAUGUGUCUGUGAGGGUGUGUUUCUGGCUAAGAUUAACAUUUGAAUCAGUGGAAUGAAUAAAGCAGAUUGCUCUCCCUAAUGUGGGUGGGCUUUAUAUAAUCAGUUGAAGGUCUAAAUAGAGCAGAAAGGCUAACCCUCACACAAAUAAGGAACUCCUCCUGCCUGACAGCUUGAGCUGGAACAUUGGGUUUUUUCCUGCCUUCAGACCAAAACAUUGGCUCUUCUUGGGCCUCAAGCCUGCUAGCUUUUGGACUUAUCUUACACCACUGGUUCUCCUGGGUCUCCAGCUUGCCAACUGCAGAUCUUGGGACUUCUCAGCUUCCAUAAUCACAUGAACCAAUUCCUUAUAAUAAAUCUCUUCAUUCAUAUAUAUAUACACACACACACACACACACACGUAUCUCCCAUUGGUUCUGCUUCUCUGGAGAACCCUGAAAAUAAGGAGACAUUAAUAAAUCAGGGAUUGAAAUAUUACAAUCUUCCCUGAAUCCAUAACCUGACCAAAUCAGCUAUGUUUUCUAUGAGAGAAGAGAGUCAUUGAAUCUCCCACUUGUUCAAAAUAUGGCCAGUGGCUCUAGAAAGCUCUCCAGUUGUACCUCUCUGCUGAGAAAAUCAGAGGCUGUGAAUGGAAAUGAGGAGACGGUGACAUGAGGGACAGGGAAAUGGGCCUAGCCCUAGCCUCUCCCACCUCCUGGCUCCUCCCACUCAGAAUGGCCCUUGGGAGAGCAAAGGACUCGGGCCCGGCUCCACAUCCCCUCUCCCAGCUUGGCCUGGGCUUACCCCCCAAGGUACUGCUGAGCUCCUAAAAAUAAAACCUAUCAUCAUUGGAGUGCUGUAGACGCCCUUUUACUGUGAUCGCGACCCAGAUCCCUGGAAGAGUCCCUCCCACUCAGACGUGCUUUGGUAAAACACCAGAAAACCCUCCAGCUGUCUUGCAGCUGCAUCUCCCAAGGAGGACCUCAGCCACAGAGAGAUCCUGACUCCUGUUUACCUGCACAGCCUCUGUUUUUGUCCAGGCAACAGGGUCCUGGGGCCGACAGGAGGGUGGAGGAGGGGCCACAGGACACAGACCCAAGCCUGAACUGAGAGGAGCUGAGAGUCCUGCCUGAGAGACUGGGUAUCACCUGGCAUCUACACCCAGGGGCCAGCCGUGUCUGGGGGUUCCUUUAUGGGGUCCUUAUGGGGUGGGGGCUCCAGCUGGUACAGAUUAUAUAGCUCACCUAGGCACUAUUGCCAAGACUUAAAACAAUAAGAAUACUAAGCAGGGCUUGAGAAUUCCUUCCUAGCCUUUGAAGCUCAGCAGCUAAGUACACAGAUUUUCAUAUCCCAACUCCACUUUGUUAGCUGUGCAGCUUUGAGCGAGUUAAGUAACCUCUCUGAGGCUUACUUAAUGAACCUAGUUAUGAGGAGUAGACUAGACUAGAUAGUAAAAAGUUUAGCUCAGUACUUAAUAGAGUUAAUGCUCAAUAAAAUUUUGUUAUCAUUUUCUUAUUUUAGAUCAUCAGCACUUUUCACCAGAUUUAUCAAUACCCAGGAGCUGACACAUGACUUUAGAGCCUUGGCAAUAACAUCACCCUGUCCAUAAAAAUGGUGCAGAAAUGAGUCUGUGACCCACCAGAGCAUUUCAACUGGGAAAAACCCAAGAGAAACCAUAUGAAGUUCCCAUUUCAUUUGUACUCUCACUCAUUCAUUCAACAAACACUUAUCAUGCCAACUAUGUCCCAGCCCAGGCUCUCAAGGAACUCACAGCUGGGAGGAGGAAACAGACAAUACUCUGUGAGGAGUCUCAAGAUCAAGAUCAGCCCUGAGCCCUAUCACAGCCCAGAGGAGGAAGAUACAGCCCAGACUUGGGCAUAGGGAGUGGUCAGGGAAGGCUUCCUGAAGGAGAACUGGCUCAUGUGAUGAUGGAAGCAGGCAAGGGUGGACCAUCAGGCUGGAGACCCAGGGAAAAGUCAAUGUUACGGUUCAAGUCCAAAGGCUGUCUGCUGGCAAAAUCUCCUCUUGCUCAGGAGAGGUCAAUCUUCUGUUCUAUUUAGGCCUUCAACUGAUUGGAUGAGGCCCACCCCCAUCAGGAAGAGCAAUCUACUUAUUCAAAGUCCACUGAUUUAAAUGUUAAUCUCAGUACACCCAAAACUAAUAGUACACUGUAUGUUAACUAAUUGGAAUUUAAAUAAAAACUUAAAAAUAAAUAAAUAAAUAAUAAAUGUUAAUCUUGCCCAAAAUACCCUCACUGAGACAUCCAGCAUAGUGUAUGACCACAUACCUGGGCACCAUGGCCUAGACAAGUUGACAAUCCCAGGCAUGCCUCCAUGAACAUGUCAUUUUGCAGGGGACAUGGCUUAUGCAAGCAGAGAAGGGCACUGCACAAGCACAUAUAUACGGGGACUUGGCCACACCGGCUGUGUUGUCCGCUACCUGUCCCUGAACCAGACCUGAACCUGGCUCCUGGGAGACAGAGCAGCCAGACAUACACCCAGCAGCUGCAACCACUCAGCUGAGGAAGGGUGGCCUCUCAAUUGCAGGUGGCAGGUUCCAGCCAGAGCCCCUGCCACUGGGUCCCCGGACUCAGUGACUGUUCCUCUGCCCAUCCCCUGCAAGAAGGGAAAGGAAAAUGGGAAUGAAACGGUCUGUGACGGUCUCUGCAGCAGGUGAGGCUCACACUUGGGGGCAUCUCCAGGGCUAAGGGGAGAGCUAGGGCUCGCUUCUCCUGCAGUGUUAAGUGUCUGGUUCCAGCCUGGGCCGGUGGACUAUUUUGAGGCCAGUGGGUGCUCCCAGAGGGGUGGGAAGAAAUGGAUCAAGGGUAUGGGUCCAUCUGUGUGGACAUUGGCUAUGGCUCCUCUAGAAAUCCAAGCAUCUCAGUGGCAGGAACUCUGACCCUGAUUUUAGAAAACCAGGUCCCAGUGGCCCGAAAGUGGGCCUGGUCUGUGAGGACAGAAGACUGGGGUCUAAACACAUGAACUGACGGCCAGGAUGCAGAAUGCAGAGGGGAAGCCGCCUCCCCUUUGGUGAAAAAUCAAUGCUGGUGUCGGGACUCCCCAUUGACAGCUUGAUUAGAAA
Mirounga angustirostris (Northern elephant seal) is the source of this 7257-nucleotide long non-coding RNA. RefSeq lists it as uncharacterized. The record is from RefSeq and is a predicted model, not a curated record. The transcript has 2 exons. NCBI's taxonomy places the organism in Eukaryota, Metazoa, Chordata, Mammalia, Carnivora, Phocidae.